UGGACAAUCCCAAGGGUGGGGGAGCCUGGUGGGCUGCCAUUUAUGGGGUCGCACAGAGUCGGACACGACUGAAGCGACUUAGCAGCAGCAGCAGCAGAAGUAUAUUAGUUGAAUUAUUUAUACUUUCCACAAACUAUUGAAAUGUGACCAAUUUAGAAAUUAUGGUUUUGUUAUAGAAACUACUCAGAACAGAUAGACUUUCUUGUGUCAAUUUUCUUCAAAAAGUAAAGUAUUAUUUUAUUAUAAAUUAAACAUAAAUUUCUUCCUAGCAGUCGUUUACACUGUCUUUCCAUGCCCAUGGUCACUAUAACAUCCUGGGAAAAUAAAGAAGUCAAAAAUCUGUAUAACAAUUCCAUAAUACGCUUGGGUCCAGCCAGAUAUAGAAUACGAACAGACAGUAAUAUUGGAAAUGGAGGCUCUUAAGGUCUGAUUUGGAGAGGGGAGAGAAACAGCAGAAGAACAAAAUCUGAGACUAUUUAUCUCCAUGUCCCAGCUCCACAUACUCUUUUUACAAAAGAUUUAAGUUCUUUCCAAAAACACAUCAAAGAAUAUUGAUUGAAGGAUUUUUCUGAGUAGCCUUUGACCACGGGGGAAGUUCUGACGUACCUAGUGGGAAACUGAAAACAAGAGGAAAAUCUCUGUUUGAGUUCAAGUGAAGUCGCUCAGUCGUGUCCCACUCUUUGAGACUCCAUGGACUGUAGCCUGUCAGGCUCCUCUGUCCAGGCAAGAAUACUGGAGUGGACUGCCAUUUCCUUCUCCAAGGGAUCUUCCCAACCCAGGGAUUGAACCUGGGUCUCCUGUAUUGCAGGAAGACUCCUUACUGGCUGAGCCAUGAGAGAAGUCACAAAGGUCAGCCCGCUGCAUUGGCUGGGAAUCAAACCAGGUCAACUGUUUGGAAGGCGGCUAUGCUCACUACUAUACCACCAAUGCUCCUUAAAUUACACACAGAUCUUCUACAUUGUCAAUAAAUGACUAAUAAAGGCAGUUAAAGAACUUAACUGAAAGGAUGGGUGCAUGUGGGCUAAGUCACUUCAGUCAUGUCCGACUCUUUUCAACCUUAUGGACUGUAGCCUGCCAGGCUCCUCUGUCCAUGGGGAUUCUCCAGGCAGGAAUACUGGAGUGGGUUGCUAUGCCAUCCCCCUCCAGGGAUGCGACCAGAGAGCGAACCCCGGUCUCACGUGUCUCCUGCACGGACAGAUUAACCAAGAACAUCGUUUCCUAUAGAUAACUAUUUUCCAGCCAUCAUCAACUAAUCAUCAAACACUUGAAUAUUUUUUCCCCACGACUUGUACAGUAUGGUCAGAAGACUAUUUGCCUCAGAAUUGUAAACGUGGAUUCCUACGUCAUUGCACGGACCUGAUAAAUAAAGAUCUUUGGAGAUGUGACUCAGCCAUACCAAAAUCUGAGAACCACUACUUUAAAGAAUACCACAGCUCUCAAUUUGAACAGAAAGAUUGAAUUUGACCAAUUAUGUUUUAUCAAGGUCUUUAGCAAUUUAGAGAACAUAUGAUGUAUUUCUUAAUAAAUUAUAGUUAUUC
Bubalus bubalis (water buffalo) is the source of this 1538-nucleotide long non-coding RNA. RefSeq lists it as uncharacterized. The transcript is spliced from 2 exons. The record is from RefSeq and is a predicted model, not a curated record. NCBI's taxonomy places the organism in Eukaryota, Metazoa, Chordata, Mammalia, Artiodactyla, Bovidae.